RNAcentral lists this ribosomal RNA (622 nucleotides) under uncultured freshwater bacterium. RNAcentral describes it as "bacterial SSU rRNA". It matches the Rfam family "Bacterial small subunit ribosomal RNA", at positions 8 to 607 of the family's 1533-position model. The record is from RNAcentral.
AGAGUUUGAUCCUGGCUCAGAACGAACGCUGGCGGCGUGCCUAACACAUGCAAGUCGAGCGAGAAAGUUUCUUCGGAAAUGAGUACAGCGGCGGACGGGUGAGUAACACGUGGGUAAUCUGCCCUUUGAUUUGGGAUAACUCAGGGAAACUUGAGCUAAUACCGAAUAAGACCACGUAACGAGAGUUACGGGGGAAAAGCAGGGGACUUCUUCGGAAGCCUUGUGUCAGAGGAUGAGCCCGCGUCCCAUCAGCUAGUUGGCGGGGUAAUGGCCCACCAAGGCUAAGACGGGUAGCUGGUCUGAGAGGAUGAUCAGCCACACUGGAACUGAGACACGGUCCAGACUCCUACGGGAGGCAGCAGUGGGGAAUCUUGCGCAAUGGGCGAAAGCCUGACGCAGCAACGCCGCGUGAGUGAUGAAGGUCUUCGGAUCGUAAAGCUCUGUCGGCAGGAAAGAAGGGUUUUUUGGCUAAUAUCCAAGAAAUCUGACGGUACCUGCAAAGGAAGCACCGGCUAACUCUGUGCCAGCAGCCGCGGUAAUACAGAGGGUGCAAGCGUUGUUCGGAAUUAUUGGGCGUAAAGGGCGCGUAGGCGGUUUCGUAGUCAGAUGUGAAAGCCCAGGG